GUCACCGCCCAGUGGGACCGGUCUCAGAGCUGGGACAGAGCUGCCCAUGCCACACGGCCAACCAGGCGGCUAAACGUGGUCUUGCGCCCUCUCGAGAGUCCUUCCGUUCGUGGCCUCUGAGACCAACCGCGGGGGAGAGCCCUCGGCCGCCGGCCCCUCACAGAGAUGGCUCCCUUCUCCCAGAGUCCUUCAAACAAGAGCCAAGAGCUGGGGAAGCCACAGAAAUGAAGCUCAACUCCCUCCUUUUAGAGAUGAGGAGAGAGCAGGAGAGACCACCCCAAGCAAAACUUCCCACCAAGUUGGCGAAAGGAACAAGAGGAAAUGACCAAGGCUGGGGGCUCUUGUGGCCCAACUAUUCCUGCGUUCUGCCUCAUAUGGCCUGGCAAGGGGCAGACCGAGCAGCAAGGUCCAUGCUGUCCCCUGCGCUGACCACCUCCCUACGUGAGAGGCCCUGCAGAGGAAUGCUGCACGUGCAGAGCAGGGAGCCUACUUUCAUAGCAGGUGAUGCACGUGAAAAGCCUGAAACCAGCACCAUGAACUUUCUCCUGAGGAAGGUAGAGGCCAGAAAGCCAGAAGAGGAAAGAGCUCAUCUCCAGAAACAGGGGCUGCCCAUGACUUGGCUGCUCUAGAUUCUGGGCCAGGACCCUCGUCAAGAAGCACCUCCCAACUCUGAGCCCCAACCCAUUUUCAACCCAUUCCUGGUUCUCAUAUUCACUUCCUCUUUGGAGAGGCAGCAAGACCCUUUUUGUAGGCAUCAGGUAAGGAACAGGGAGAUGGAAAAGGACAGUAAUGUGAGGGUGGGAAGGGAAGGAGAUGGGACAAAUGCAGAGAUGGCCUGAGAAGAGUGUGGGAGAAGGGACAUCUAAGCAGCUGGCCUAGGAGAAAGCUCAAGAACCUGCCUCCCUCUCCAACCCUGCACCCUCAAAGGCAGCAGCCAGGGCCCAGUGAGGUGCCAGAGAGAACCCAGUAUAGGCAGUGGGGGCAGGGCCCAGGCACAAGCAACCCAUUGUGGCCACAAACACA
Manis pentadactyla (Chinese pangolin) is the source of this 1023-nucleotide long non-coding RNA. RefSeq lists it as uncharacterized. Lineage: Eukaryota; Metazoa; Chordata; Mammalia; Pholidota; Manidae. The record is from RefSeq and is a predicted model, not a curated record. The transcript has 3 exons.